Molecule: ribosomal RNA, 325 nt
Filed under: uncultured eukaryote
Lineage: Eukaryota
Description: partial 18S ribosomal RNA
Rfam family: Eukaryotic small subunit ribosomal RNA
Source: RNAcentral
CCCUUAGAUGUUCUGGGCCGCACGCGCGCUACACUGACUGCUCCAACAAGUUACCUGGGCUGACAAGCAUCCGGGAAAUCUUGCAAAGGCAGUCGUGAUGGGGAUAGAUUCUUGUAAUUUUUGAUCUUCAACGAGGAAUUCCUAGUAAACGCAAGUCAUCAGCUUGCAUUGAUUACGUCCCUGCCCUUUGUACACACCGCCCGUCGCAUCUACCGAUUGAAUGGAGAGGCAAAAUCUUCGGACCGUGACGCUUGGGAGUCAAAUCUCGGGCUGUCGUGGGAAGUGGAUUAAACCUUUCUAUGUAGAGGAAGGUAAAGUCGUAACA